GCCGAAGUGGCGGAAUUGGCAGACGCAGUAGACUCAAAAUCUACCGCCCUUAAAGCGUGCCGGUUCGAGUCCGGCCUUCGGCACCA
RNAcentral lists this transfer RNA (86 nucleotides) under Bacillota bacterium. RNAcentral describes it as "tRNA-Leu". It matches the Rfam family "tRNA". Rfam says of the family: Transfer RNA (tRNA) molecules are approximately 80 nucleotides in length. Lineage: Bacteria; Bacillati; Bacillota. The record is from RNAcentral.